UGCACAUCUCUGUUAAUGAUGGAGUAUAACAUCGUGUAGUUACUUAGGUCAAAGACCCUGUAGAUGCUGAGAAAAAGGGAGCCAGAAAGUGUAGAUGCUUUUAGAAAGGUUCUGCUUCUGGACUCUGUCUUUCUGAGAUUGGAGAGAUCACUGCUGAUAUCUCUAAGAAAAUGCAACAUCUAAUUAGCACCAUAAAAUGAAAGUUUACCUGCUGAAGAAGAUCCGAUAAAAGCAUAAAGAGCUGUUUUAAGGGGGCGAAGCUGCUGCAUUUUCAUCAGCCCCCUCCAACUCUUAAGCUUCAGUACAAGAACUUCUUGGUAUAUUGAAUGCAAUAACAAAAUCAAAACCCCUUAAUUUAAUAAUUUGGGUUUCAAGUAAAACUAUAAACUCAAACUAAAUUAAAACACUAGUGUUGUGUUUGGCUGAGUGAAUGCGAUUCCGGAAGGAAUGGAAUGAAAAAUGAACUAUAUUAUGAGUAAUUGUUAACAAUUUUCAUUCUUUCCCCCAUUCCAUUCCUCACAUUAUGUGUUAGAUCAUACCUUCGAUUUGAGAUGGAAUGCUCCAUUCUCUCCUACCCCCAAUUUCUUCUCAAAUCUCAUCAUAGCAAUUUUGCACUCACUUAAAUUUAUUUCAAAACUUCCUCCUAACUCUAUUAGUUUUAAGUAAUUUUACUCAUUUCAUUCCAUUCCAUUCUCUUCUCCCAUUCCAAACACAACAUAGUAGAUAAAGUAAACCAGAUUCCUCUUCCUAAGAGAUGCAAAAAUACUUACCCCUUGAUAAACAACUCGAUUAAGAUGUAAAACCAUCAAUUGAGAGAUAAACUCGAAUAUUUUCGAACACAUAUAUUAACAUUUUGGCAUCUAAAGGAUGAAAUUUGGUACGGAAGCAUAAUAAUCUCAACUAAAAGAUAUCACACCUGUAAUGGUGCUUCUUAAUUAUUGCUUUAUUAGCGAGUUCAAC
Molecule: long non-coding RNA, 960 nt
Filed under: Daucus carota (carrot)
Lineage: Eukaryota; Viridiplantae; Streptophyta; Magnoliopsida; Apiales; Apiaceae
Description: long non-coding RNA (DCAR_LNC000395)
Source: RNAcentral